Diospyros lotus (date-plum) is the source of this 3650-nucleotide long non-coding RNA. RefSeq lists it as uncharacterized. NCBI's taxonomy places the organism in Eukaryota, Viridiplantae, Streptophyta, Magnoliopsida, Ericales, Ebenaceae. The record is from RefSeq and is a predicted model, not a curated record. The transcript is spliced from 5 exons.
GGUAUCUUAACGUGGGCUUCAGCUGUUAACAGGAUGGAGCCAGGAGGGGAAUGGUGGUCCAGGUCGAGAAGACAAUAGAAAAAGGCAAGGCCAGCAACAACUUGCCUCCCAUCAUUGAUUCACAUAAACCGACUAUAUCAGUUGAUCACUGCUCGUUUGCGCUGAUGUGAUCUCUUCUUAUCUUUGGAUUGAAGAAGAAGCUGAAAACCUACGCCCCGAUGAUGCAUACGGACAAAAUUAAAGAAAAGGUGGAGAAUCCAAUCAAAUCCGCAGUGUCAUUCGAUCGAAGGGGACGCCGACGGGACCCUCGCGGAAGGAAUCCAAGAACCCUAGCUUUAUUUCUCACUGUGCGCUUCUACGCAUCGGAGUAGGGACUGGAAUUAGCUUCAGUCGGAGUUUGUUUAGAGAUUCCAUCAGGAAAUGUUUUACUUCGCAGCAGGAGUGCAAGAAAGACAAGAAACGACCGUGUAAAGGCAAGUUCCUAACCCUCUCCUCAUGUUCUUUAAUUCUCAUGAGAAACUCCGUGGUUUCUCGUAUUUUAUCCCCUCUCUUACUCUAAUUUGACGCCUAACAUUAUUUAUUGAGUUAUUAUCUAUUUAUUUUAAUUUAAAUUAAAUCCGAGACUUAUAAAAUUUUAUUUGUUGUAAACCUACGAGGGUUUGUACCUCUCCCACUCAUUUUGGAAUAAUGUUGAAUCCAACUUGGGAACUAGAUUCUUAGAGGUACGGGUUUAUUUAUGGAUUUCUCGGGUUUAUUUAUGGUUUGAUUAGGGCUAUCGAGCAGUGGGAUAAUGGUCGGCUAUCUGGUGACAUUGGGGUAGACUAUCGUUCGGUUCUGAUAUAGACCGUCGGGCGGACACUCCUAGUCACUAAUCGUUGACCAGUGCCGGACACUGUUGAUUAGCUCUACUAGUAUGUGAUUUAUUACAUGAUUUGAUAUAUUGUAUUAUCGUUCAUGGUUUGAUAUGCACAUGGGUACGAGAUGCAUGUUGGGGUGUUCAUUUAUUGAGUAUGCUUGAUCACGGACAUACUAGCUUGGUUAGUUUGCAUCUGGCACGGGCAUAUGCAUUGCAAAUGGUUUACUAUGUGGGCGGAGCAUGGCCUGAUGCUUGGAUGUAUGGGCACUAGUGUAUCACGUUGAUACUCAUUACGCCAUUGCAUUUUAUGUGCAUUGCAUGGUUACUGGUUGUACUCUGGUCUCGGACGGGAGGAUUGUUCCAAGGGAGCCUAUAGCUCAGUUAUUCAGAGGCUUGGGUAUCGGGAGGACCGACGCGAGCAUUCAGGUGACGGGAGCCUCGACCCGGGACAGCGCGCGCAGGUUUGUGGAGAUAUAUGUUGCCUUUCAGGGCAGCGACAAGUUGAUAUGGGACUUGGGAGCCGUGUGUCUUGUGUGGGCCCUAAGGACUGGAAUGGCAGCGUAGGUCAUGGACAAGGGAGUCAACUUUUAGCGGCAGAGUCAGUAUGAUGUACAGAAUACCUUCUCCCAAAUAAUGGAGUUUCUCUUAAACAAUUACAACCCUUUUUCGCUUCACUUUUUGACCCAGUUCUCCUAGUCUAACAUCUGCUCACUCUCAUGAGCAAAGGCAUGAGUUCUUUUGGAUAACAGUGAACUCCACCAAGACAAGUAACUGGUUCAGAACUACAUCAUGUCAUGUGCCAACCUGCAAGACUCAUCCCUAACUUAUGCGGCCUUAAUUAGCUUGUCUGUCUGGGGGACACUCUUCUCAACUCCCCGAUGCCAUGCCGGCUUAAUACCCAUUCCCAGUCCCAGGCCUUGUCCCUGCUAUACUUCCGGCCUCUCACUUCGUUAAAAGUUCAAACUAGGUGGGUGGAAUAUUAACAGAAAAAUAAAAUUUAAUAUACGCAUCUCUAGUAGACAGGUAUAUAUAAAGCUUCUUAUUCAUGCCAUACCUAUUUAAUUAAAAUAUACCUUUAUAGAUUUUAUUUUAUUUUUUUGACAAGGUUAUGGUAGGAUUUUUGUAGUUAUGAGAGAUUUUGGUGAUUUUUUUCCUUCUCAGAACAUGUUGGUAUAGUCAUAUAAGGUUUAUGUAAAACAUAGUUAUGUUUCUGCUUUACAUUUUAUAUUAAGUUGGAAUUUUAAUUUCCUCUCAAGUUUUGUUUUGUUACAUAAAUGGAAAAGUUAACCAAAGUUGUUUAUUACAAUAAAAUGACAAUUUGAACUUCAUCCUUAAAAAAAAAAAAAAAAAAUUAAAAUGUCCCAUUAAAGUGAGUACGUGAGACUGCUUAUAUUUUGAAAAGUGUAAUUGUCACAUCAUUUCAGCAAUGAUAGGUUUAUUAAUAGGAUGAAUUUUCCUUGUACAAUUCCUAUUAGAUAUAUAUAUAUAUAUAUAUUGCAUAAAACACUAUUGCUAUAGCUAGCCGUGACUGUGUCUUGUUUGGUAGGUUCAACGCGUGUUUCUCCCAUUGUCCAAAGUUCUUUAUAAUUAUAAAAUGGAAUGUUAUAUUAUUUUAACAAUAAUAUUUUCAAAAGAGAAUACUCUUCGAGAAGCUGGUGUGUCCACGUCCUGUUUCCUUGGAUUUUCCCUUUCCCUUCACUUACGUAUGAAACCUUUGCUUGCAAUUGCUAGCUGCUACUGUUACUGCCCGUAUAGCGUAUGUUAUGUGUUUGUGUACCUUAAUUUUGGACCCAUCCAUUAGCGGGGAACGUUUGGAUAAUGAGCGCGCGCUUGCCUGCCUGGUGGUGUUUGGAUUGUAGUUAGUUAGCAAACGAGUAUGGGUUUCUUCCUCUCCUCUGCGCUGCAUGCGAAACUUCCAUACUCCUCCCUAGCUAGAUUGUCCCCGUCAAUGGCUGCCUCAAAACUUCUCUUAUUUACCUCCCAACCCUCUGCUACGCCAAAUAGAGUACGAGAUACUAACAGCUAGCCAACACGUACGUAGUCGAUCGAGGCACCGCAUGCUGAUAACUGAAAGAACCCUGGAAGUGACAUACAGUAGUAUAGGCAUCGUGACAACAUAUUGUGUAUAUAUAUAUAUAUAUACACACACACACGGAGGGAUUACGUACGUACGUUACACAUAGCUUUAACUUAAUUGGGUCCUCUUUCAUUGCUCGUCUUCUUCGAUCAUGAUAGUACGAUACGUACACUGUAGGUUCCUACCUUCCCAAUCAGUGCUGAAAUGCAUAUACGGCAGAUAAGAGCCAAAGCUAGCUGCCGGCUCUCAUGUGUUAAGAUAAUUAAGAGAGCCACACGCACCACACACCAGCUCAUGACGGUCGGAACUUGGAUCAAUAAGCAAGCAGUAGUGAUCCACAAGCUGCCCAUAACCAGCCUUUUGGGUAAACGACACACGGCUAAGAUUCUAUGGAGAUGCCCUUCACGACUUAUGCGUACUAUCAACAGUCCUAUUCUUUAGUUAUGACUUAUUUGUAGAUUUCAUUUUCAGAACUGAUGAUACACAUGCCGGAACUUCAACUAGCUGAUGUGAACAGUGAUAUUAAUUGGCUCUGCGGGUCUAAAUAUACUUCAGUGCAGCUUUCUGAUAAGCUCUUAUUAUCAUUAUGGAUCUGAAAUCCGAAAGUGAAGUGCUCAUUCAUCAUUUGUUUUUCGAGCUGGAGUGCAUGAAUUGACAAGUAGUUAAUGAUGAAAACUUCAACAAUUUCUGUGUUCACAUAAUCCUUCACAUGUGAAA